Dermochelys coriacea (leatherback sea turtle) is the source of this 3085-nucleotide long non-coding RNA. RefSeq lists it as uncharacterized. The record is from RefSeq and is a predicted model, not a curated record. NCBI's taxonomy places the organism in Eukaryota, Metazoa, Chordata, Testudines, Dermochelyidae. The transcript is spliced from 2 exons.
UACUUUUGUGCAGGUGGUAGUGCAGAUACUUCUUUUUAGAACUAAAGCUUAUUAUGCUGACUUGGUGAACUGUACGAGUUGAAACUUAACUGAAGGGAGGGGGAGCAUAUUAGAUGCUGUGUUCACUGAAGAAAUCUUAGUUCUCCAAGGUCAUCUGCCUUAACACCAUGGAUUUUCAUUAUGUGAGUACCAAGUAGUACAUCCAUAUAGUUAAGGUUGCCAAACAGUCUCCAUUGUAAUCCUAUAUUUUUCAUGCCUGGACAGUUUUAUAUUUACAUAUUUUCUGCUUAACAGAUUAAAGGAACUGUACACUUGUACACAAUGAGGUUUUCAAGUUAAGAUAUUUUUGAAGAAUUUUCAAAAGGAUAAAAAGAGAACUACCAAAAAAAAAAAUUAAAAAUCCAAAUAAAUGUUUGACUGUCCUUCAUGAAGCUAUUAUAAGUAGUCAUGGGGGGAGAAGUAAAAUUCUGUCAUCAGUUAGAAACUGUAAGAAUAAAUGGAAAAUUCACAGCAUUUAAGUUGUGGAACUUGCUGGUGUAAGAUAUUCAUGAAAGCUUAGUAGGAUUUGAAAACUGCUUAGACGAUUGAGUGCCUGCACUUAUAUUUGACUAAAAUCUUUGAGAUAUGAAUUUUAAUCCCUCAAAGCAUUUCACACCUGUUUAAGUAUUAACUAACAACCCAAAGGGCAGGCUCUUCCAUAAUGAACAAGCAUGGGAGUUUUACACCUUCUUCUGAAUAUGGUACUGGGCAAUCGGUAGAACCUGUUUUAAAAAGAAAAAAUGGAUAGGUGGUCUGAUGCAUUAUAGUAAUUCCCAUGUUCUACACACACAAGAGGAUGGAACUGUGAGGAUUCAGCUGUACUAUUUUAUAUUUUCUGACUUAAAUGCAUAAGUUAUUUAAAAUUCAAAUUGUAUUGAAGGACCCAUGGAAUCUGAAAAUCAUACUUCUGGCUAAAAAUCUUGAAUUUAGGAAAGUUAUAACACUUAUAAGUACUACAGCUGAAAAGUUAGCAACAUUUCAGUUAACCUUGUGCAACUUACAAAACUUAUUUACUAUUUUCUGUGGCCUGUUAGGCAGGAAUAAACUAACUGUAAUGACUCUUGUAAAUAUUAAAGGGAGCAGAAUACCCUUCCUGUUAAGUAAUUUCAGAAAGUGUAUUGUGAUAUUUCUAUUUUUUGGUUAACUAGUAAGUUUUGUUCAGUAUCUGAGUUCGCCCUGAAAUCUUCCAAAUAGUGUGUAACAGGAAAUAUGACUGAUCAUCAAGAAAAUAGUAAAGCUUGACUGUAUGCAAAGUGCUAGAAAAUGAGCGAAGUAAAUGGAAAAUAAACUGAAACUAAAUUUCAGUCUCUAUAAUUACUUCUAAGAUUGUGAAGUGAGAUAUACUGAUGAAACAUUAUGAGAGCUAGUUAUUAAGGUUUGUGGUGUUUUUUUAAAUAACAUGUAAUUUGAUGGUGUUCCUUUAAUAUAGGCAGUGAGUACAUGGUAACUAAUAAUCAGUUUAGAUCCAAUUUGAAAUAAAUAUAAAAUCAGUGACUUUAUAAAGUAAAUAUCUAAUUUGAUAGGCGUUUGAGGAAGAUAUAAGCUCUCUGCCCAUCCUAUUACCAAUUUGGGUUCUUUUCAGACAUUGGUUGCAGAGCAACUAGGGGAGCAGUUUUUCCUGGUGUCAUCUCAACACAACAUUAGAUCUGUAGACUGAAAAUUUGCAAAUGUAUUGUUUCAGUGGAUUUCAUUCCCUCUGGGGCAUGAAAAUGCUGGGAUGCUGUCAGCAGUAUUUCACUUUUGUGACAUUCUCAUGCUUGUGCUCUACUACUGAGCUCAAAAAGUGUUUGGUAAACAAAUUGUGGUUUUGUGCCUGAUUAGUGUGUACUGAGCAUUUACAGGAUUUAUUAAAAAUCUCUUCUGUUGACUCCAGAAAACGUGGGGAUUUUCAGUAUGUAGUUGCAUAGUCUGUUAGAAGCUGUAGGAUUGUUCUGUAGUGUUGCAAGUUUAGACAGCCUAAUCUUUAUUUUAAGAUAUACUCAGAAAUACAGGAUUGCACACUUUCUGAUCAGGGUGUAAACUUAAGCUUUUUAAGCAGUCUUGCAAUGUUGUGGCUACAACUGACUUAAGAGGGAAGGAGUGCCUCAACUUCAGGCUGUCUUCAAGUUUGAACUAAAAUGAGAUCAGGCAAUUGUUUUCCUCAACUGUAAUUGUACCAUUGCAUGUAGUACUUAGUGUGGUUUUACAUUAGCUUAUGCUCUUUAAUUUUAGACCUCAAUAGACUAUAUAGUAGAAUAAACACUGCUGUGGAAACUUCAGUGUCUCUUGCAAAUUCUCAGCUGUAACAAAGGUUUUAGAAUUUAUAAUUCAAUAACCAGUAUUUUCAAACUGAUGGGCACUUAAAUAGCUACACAGAUACCCAAAUAAGUGGCAGACUUUAAAAGUGGUGAGUUCUCACAGUUUCAGUGACUUCAGUGGGAGUUAAAUGUGCUCAGUGCUUGGGGGGGAAAAAAGGCCACUGAUCUGGAUGUGUAAAUUUGGGGCCGUAUUUGGCCAUAUGCUUUUUUUAAAGUAGUCUUAGUUUUGUUGGGAAUAAUAGUGUGAUGGAAUCCUGAAUACACAAAUUCCAGGGGCAAAGCGAACCUUUUUUCUUUUGUAUAGGUCAGCAUGAUUAUUGAGAAUCUUCUUUAAAAUAUUCCUGACAGUGAUUUGGUUUUAUCAGUUUGAUUGCCUUAUCUCAUUUUUUUUAAUUCUUCAAGGUAUGGCAGUUAAGUGGAGCAAAGCUUGCUGACAAGCAUGCUCCUUGUUUUGACAGUACUGGACAUCAGCAGGCUAUUUGUUGUACUAAUCCUGCAUGCCCUGUUAUAUUGUCAGACUUAUGGGAACCCUCAUAGGCUAGUAUCAGUGGCUUUUGACACUUAUCUGGUAGGUCUGCCUCCAAUUAAUUUAAAUAUUUGUAGCAUUAUUUUAAGAUUAUAUUAGAAUGUUGCCACUGUAAUUGAAUUUACAUGUUAUUGUAGGCAGUUUUGGGCUAGCACUUUUUGUUAGACAUUUUCCCCUGUGAAAUCUAGCAUAUUUCUGUUGAAACUAAGUUAGUUUACAUGCU